UAGGGCGUAAAGCGCGGCGUAGGCGGGACUAGGUAAGGUUAGAGGUGAAAUCCCGGGGACCUCAACCCGGAACUGCCUUUAAUAACUGGCAACUAGAGUUCGAGAGAGGUGAGUGGAAUUCCGAGUGUAGAGGUGAAAUUCGUAGAUAUUCGGAGGAACACCAGUGGCGAAGGCGGCUCACUGGCUCGAUACUGACGCUGAGGUGCGAAAGUGUGGGGAGCAAACAGGAUUAGAUACCCUGGUAGUCCACACCGUAAACGAUGAAUGCCAGUCGUCGGGUAGCAUGCUAUUCGGUGACACACCUAACGGAUUAAGCAUUCCGCCUGGGGAGUACGGUCGCAAGAUUAAAACUCAAAGGAAUUGACGGGGGCCCGCACAAGCGGUGGAGCAUGUGGUUUAAUUUCGAAGCAACGCGCAGAACCUUACCAACCCUUGACAUCCUGUGCUACAUCCAGAGUAUGGAUGGUUCCCUUCGGGGACGCAGUGACAGGUGCUGCAUGGCU
This 503-nucleotide ribosomal RNA is filed under the name uncultured Paracoccaceae bacterium. Its description in RNAcentral is "bacterial SSU rRNA". It matches the Rfam family "Bacterial small subunit ribosomal RNA", at positions 554 to 1050 of the family's 1533-position model. Lineage: Bacteria; Pseudomonadati; Pseudomonadota; Alphaproteobacteria; Rhodobacterales; Paracoccaceae. The record is from RNAcentral.